This 425-nucleotide ribosomal RNA is filed under the name uncultured bacterium. RNAcentral's name for it is "partial 16S ribosomal RNA". It matches the Rfam family "Bacterial small subunit ribosomal RNA", at positions 354 to 796 of the family's 1533-position model. The record is from RNAcentral.
GUGGGGAAUAUUGGACAAUGGGCGCAAGCCUGAUCCAGCCAUGCCGCGUGAGUGAUGAAGGCCUUAGGGUUGUGAAGCUCUUUCAGUGGGGACGACAAUGACGGUACCCACAGAAGAAGCCCCGGCUAACUUCGUGCCAGCAGCCGCGGUAAUACGAAGGGGGCUAGCGUUGUUCGGAUUUACUGGGCGUAAAGCGCACGUAGGCGGAUCGUUAAGUCGGGGGUGAAAUCCUGGAGCUCAACUCCAGAACUGCCUUCGAUACUGGCGAUCUUGAGUCCGGAAGAGGUGAGUGGAACUCCUAGUGUAGAGGUGGAAUUCGUAGAUAUUAGGAAGAACACCAGUGGCGAAGGCGGCUCACUGGUCCGGUACUGACGCUGAGGUGCGAAAGCGUGGGGAGCAAACAGGAUUAGAUACCCGGGUAGUCC